RNAcentral lists this ribosomal RNA (468 nucleotides) under uncultured bacterium. Its description in RNAcentral is "partial 16S ribosomal RNA". It matches the Rfam family "Bacterial small subunit ribosomal RNA", at positions 28 to 507 of the family's 1533-position model. The record is from RNAcentral.
GACGAACGCUGGCGGCGUGCUUAACACAUGCAAGUCGAACGGAAAGGCCCUUCUUUUGUUGCGUGCUCGAGUGGCGAACGGGUGAGUAACACGUGAGUUACCUGCCCUUUACUUUUGAAUAACUUCAGGAGACUGUGGCUCAUACCGUAUAGUCGCUCCUCCUGCUUGGUGGUGGUUGGAUAGUUUCGGCGGUGGGGGAUUGACUCGCGGCUUAUCAGUUUGUUGGUGGGGUGGUGGCUUACCAAGGGUUUGAUGGGUAGCCGGCCUGGGAGGUUGACCGGCCAAAUUGGAACUAAGAAACGCCCCAGACUCCAACGGGAGCAAGCAGUGGGGAAUAUUGCACAAUGGCCCGAAGCCUGAUCCAGAAACCCCGCGUCCGGAAUACCGGCCUUCGGUUUGUAAACCGCUUUCGCCUGUAACGAACCUUUAGUGACGGUAAUUGCUAAAGAAGCACCGGCUAACUACGUG